This 412-nucleotide ribosomal RNA is filed under the name Oscarella sp. 6 JV-2020. Its description in RNAcentral is "partial large subunit ribosomal RNA". The record is from RNAcentral. Lineage: Eukaryota; Metazoa; Porifera; Homoscleromorpha; Homosclerophorida; Oscarellidae.
GAAACGAAUGCGACUAGCAAAGCACCCGUUGCAGAUUCAGCCUGGUCGACGUGCGUCGGUAGGYKUGCGGAUCUGAAUAGACCGCAGYCGRCUUGACGGCACGUGGGCCUGUCGCAAUUCUGCCCGGUGCGAGCCAACGUCGGUCGGUAGUCGACGUUCCGUAGCUUCGUCAGGUGGUCCGCGACUUCGGUGGCGGUCGUUAUAGGCGUAGCGACAAGGGCGUCGAGACGGAUCGAGGAGACGAGUUGUCUCGGUGGCGGCCCGCGCGCUUUUGUGCUAGAGGCGGCCGGCUGGCGUUCGGCGUCGGUUCUCGGACUGCAUGCAGUGCGAGUUUCGAUCGUCGGAGCGAGUCGGUCAGUCUUUCAUACGCGGGCCUAGGUCGUUGGCGGUAAAAUGGUCUCAUCCGACCCGU